This 493-nucleotide ribosomal RNA is filed under the name uncultured bacterium. Its description in RNAcentral is "partial 16S ribosomal RNA". It matches the Rfam family "Bacterial small subunit ribosomal RNA", at positions 28 to 507 of the family's 1533-position model. The record is from RNAcentral.
GACGAACGCUGGCGGCGUGCUUAACACAUGCAAGUCGAACGGUGAAGGGACCGGUUUUUGCUGGUUCUGGAUGAGUGGCGAACGGGUGAGUAACACGUGAGUAACCUGCCCCCUUCUUCUGGAUAACCGCAUGAAAGUGUGGCUAAUACGGGAUAUUCUGCGCCUGCUGCAUGGUGGGUGUGGGAAAGAUAUUGUUUCGGUGGGGGAUGGGCUCGCGGCCUAUCAGCUUGUUGGUGGGGUGAUGGCCUACCAAGGCGGUGACGGGUAGCCGGCCUGAGAGGGUGGACGGUCACACUGGGACUGAGACACGGCCUAGACUCCUACGGGAGGCAGCAGUGGGGAAUAUUGCACAAUGGGCGCAAGCCUGAUGCAGCGACGCCGCGUGAGGGAUGGAGGCCUUCGGGUUGUAAACCUCUUUCGCCAGUGAAGCAGGCCUGUCCCUUUUGUGGGUGGGUUGACGGUAGCUGGAGAAGAAGCGCCGGCUAACUACGUG